RNAcentral lists this long non-coding RNA (1443 nucleotides) under Fragaria vesca (wild strawberry). Its description in RNAcentral is "long non-coding RNA (FVES_LNC004806)". The record is from RNAcentral. Lineage: Eukaryota; Viridiplantae; Streptophyta; Magnoliopsida; Rosales; Rosaceae.
CGUUGCAGGUGAUUACUUAGUGUUUUUUUAAAAGUAAACUAUUAAGCAUGAUUUUACCACACUCAUCUGCCAAUGGAUCUCAAACAUCAAUCAACUCAACAUUGCCUUAGUUUAUAGAUUCAUUCAGACGGACCAAUUGGUGUAUGUUAGCUUCUAUGAUAAUUCAUUCAAUUGCAUGCUAGUUUAUAAUUGGUUUUUGUGUCCUUAAAACUUACUAAUAUUCUUUUUCUUCAAUUUGGCAGGAGACACUUGAAUGAUAGGUGUACACUGAAGUUUGGAUAUGAAGUAAGUAUUAGAGUGCAUUAGUGCUGUUAGGACUUGGGGGGACUUCCUACACGCCACAAUUGUAGUUGCUAGUAUUUGGUUUGUUGUCUUUUUUAUUUUAUAGUUUGUAGGCUGGUCUCUUUAGAACAAAUAACUUUGUAAACUUUGUUGGUUUUUGGCAAUGAGAAUGAAUUUGAGAUAUCUUAAUCAUGUUGUGCAAAUGCUUUAUUAAAUUGUCAUCCAAAUUAAAAUCAAACAAUAGAUAUUCCCAUGGACAUCGACGUCUCUACAUAUUUCAAACGACAUUUAUAUGUCGUCUUAAAGUAAAAGAUGACCAUAUUGUAUGUCGUCUGAGGUAAGUAUCAGACGACAGAUAAGUGACGUUUGAAUACAUUUGAGUCGAGAGAAGAGGUUUGACGUAUGUCGUCUGAGAUAUAUUUAGACGACAAAAUAGUAACGUGUGAAUAAGUUUGAGAUGAGAGACGGCUGCUCACAUCUUUAGUAUUACUUUAGUUUUGACGAUACUUUUAUGUCGUUAAGAAGCUUUCUCACGACAGAAACUUUAAUUUUGUUACGAAUGUAGGUGCAUACAGACGACAGUUGCUUAUAUACAAUCUGUCGUCAAAGUUGUAUCAGACGUCUGACGAGGUCUGUCGACUGAAUGCUUAUCAGAUGACUGCUUGAUAGACGACAGCCGAAAAAGCAUUCAGACGACCGACCUGGCAGGUCGUCUGAAGCCAAAAUUGACGUAGUGUAAAAAAGUAUUAUGUACUCUUUUAAUUGAAGUGGAUUAUUAACAUUCAAUGAAGUUUUACUUUCUUUGAUUCUUAAUUUUGUUACAUAUGAAGUUCAAUUCAUAGUCAAACAAUAUAAGUGCUUAUAAAAAGCAACAAGAAUGUGAAUUCCAAUAGAAAAUCGGACAACAUAAGUCUUUAUAACAAGCAACAAAAAUAUGAAGUCUAAUAGACUAUCAGACGACAUAUAUAUGUAGUUGGUUUUCUAUUGAGACGACAUAUAGUCUAAUAAAUUUUCAAAUAUGAUAAUAUCAGACGACAUUAAAUUGUCAUUAGAAAACAACAGGUGAAUGUAUUUAUCGUUAUAGGUUCUGUAGCUUGACAAUUAGAUGCAGUGUAAGGUUGUAUCAACUACAUCUAUUUCAACAAAUCUUUCAUUUUUUCU